GGCACAAGAACUACAUGGGCAAACAAACUACUGAAUUUCAGCAAGGCAGUUUAGCAAAUUCUUUUAUAAAUUUGAAGGAACCUGUGGAUUGGAUGAUUCUGCGUUGUGGCAGCAUUGUCAACUGAUGGACCCACCAGUUCCUGAAUCCUGCUGACUAAUGGAUCAUUGUCAACUUGCUGGAGCUUUGAGGAAGGGCUUCAGAAGCUGAUGGCAUAGUUAUGAGAGGGGUGAAGACUGCGACUGCAUUUCCAACAGACCCUGAGGACAAUUGGGAAGAAUGCGCUGAAUAUUUUUGAGCAAUUUCUAUAUGAUAAGCAGUUUUUAGGGCAAGUAUAGGUUGCACUGAUCCUGACCUUUUGGCCUGAGGAUGGAAGUCUUCAG
Long non-coding RNA from Homo sapiens (human), 381 nucleotides. Ensembl annotates it as AQP4 antisense RNA 1. Its record names the gene AQP4-AS1. Lineage: Eukaryota; Metazoa; Chordata; Mammalia; Primates; Hominidae. The record is from Ensembl.